Molecule: ribosomal RNA, 929 nt
Filed under: uncultured fungus
Lineage: Eukaryota; Fungi
Description: eukaryotic LSU rRNA
Rfam family: 5.8S ribosomal RNA (bases 568-721)
Source: RNAcentral
CUUGGUCAUUUAGAGGAAGUAAAAGUCGUAACAAGGUUACCUUCUAGCAGCUCGCUACGGAGACCUUGCACCCCUAUAGGGAGGUAGCACGACAGUAAAUAAAGCUCGCCGCGUGCAAGUCGACUAUAGUCGGCAACACAAUCGAACUGACGGGGACCUCCUAAAGCCUGCAGCACCAACUGUCCGAGGAAACUUGGAUGGGGCCCUCACGGGGUGGUAAGAGAGUGCAGGAUGAUACAAUGGACGAUCCGCAGCGAAUACCCUACCGGCGGAAGCCCACGGGUGUCGUCCACAGACUAAGUGAUUGUGGGCCGGGCAUUCGAGCCAUGUCUAAGAUAGAGUCGGCCUCUCCUCGAAAGAGUAGAGUAUAGUAUGUCCGUAGGUGAACCUGCGGAAGGAUCAUUAAAGUAACUCCCCUGUUCUUGAGCAGGGUGCUACUCAACCCGUGUAGACCUUACUUUUGUUGCUUUGGCAGGCCGCCUUCAGGCGUUGGCUCCGGCUGACAGCGCUUGCCAGAGGACCCAAAUUCUUUUGUUUAGUGAUAUCUGAGUACUAUAUAAUAGUUAAAACUUUCAACAACGGAUCUCUUGGUUCUGGCAUCGAUGAAGAACGCAGCGAAAUGCGAUAUGUAAUGUGAAUUGCAGAAUUCAGUGAAUCAUCGAAUCUUUGAACGCACAUUGCGCCCCUUGGUAUUCCGAGGGGCAUGCCUGUUCGAGCGUCAUUAUGACCACUCAAGCCUAGCUUGGUAUUGGGGGUUCGCGAUCUUGCGGCCCCUAAAAAUCAGUGGCGGUGCCCGUCUUAGCUCUAAGCGUAGUAAUUUUCUCGCUAUGGGGUCCGGAUAGUUACUUGCCAAAACCCUAACUUCUCACGGUUGACCUCGGAUCAGGUAGGGAUACCCGCUGAACUUAAGCAUACCAAUAAGCGGAGGA